GCCCACCACCCCUCCCGCCCCGCCACCAUGAGCCCUCGGCUCCGCGGCCUCGUCCUCCUCCUCCUCGCGGCCCUGCCAGGGCUGCGGGCGGACGCGCAGCUGAUCGAGGACGGAGGGGGCCUCCAGCCGCCCGGCGGGAGCCUCCGCCUCUCCUGCAAGGGAACCGAGUUCGACUUAAGCAACUUCGACAUGUACUGGAUCCGACAAGCACCCGGCAAGGGGCUCGAGUACGUCGCAUAUAUUAGCAGCAUUAGUAGCACAGGCUAUGCGGAUGCGGUGCAAGGGCGCUUCACCAUCUCCUGGGACGACGCGCAGAGCACGCUCUACCUGCAGAUGAACAGCCUCAAGGCCGAGGACACCGGCACCUACUACUGCGCGAAAGCUGCUGCUAGUUAUGGUGAUGGUGGUGAAGCCAACCCUGACUGCAGUCCAGAUGCUGAUGAGAUGCACGCACAAGUGCUGAUGACCAUGAGCUGUCCAAGGUGA
This is a non-coding RNA of Rhea pennata, 486 nucleotides long. Lineage: Eukaryota; Metazoa; Chordata; Aves; Rheiformes; Rheidae. The record is from the annotation of a RefSeq genome assembly.